GCCAGAGCCAUGAAACUACCCAUUUUGGUGCCACCGUACGGGUGCUGUUGGAGUAUACUACAGCCACCAACCCAACCACCCGAUGUCCUGGAUGGAUUGAGCAAUCCAUAAAGAAAAAAUCCUUGAAGUUCUCAGAACAUCUCAUACAGCAUAUCUUGGGCAUUAUAUCUGGGAGCUAAAAACACCACCUACACUUACUAUUUGAAAUUGACGUAAGUUACUGCAGUCCUCUCUGUAACCCUGCCUCCCUACUUUUUGAAAUGAAUUAUAUCAUGCAUCUAAGCUGGAUACCUGAGUAUCGAGGAGAAAUGGAAAGCCGUAAAGCAGUAAAGGGGCUAGGAAGGGACUUGCACAGUACAUUUUGUCAAGUUCUCCAUUCCGAACAUCCUGUUUCUAAAAUCUAAAUGAGUAAGAG
This 415-nucleotide small RNA is filed under the name Histoplasma capsulatum. RNAcentral describes it as "hypothetical RNA". Lineage: Eukaryota; Fungi; Ascomycota; Eurotiomycetes; Onygenales; Ajellomycetaceae. The record is from RNAcentral. RNAcentral also lists the same sequence under 1 other name.